UUAAAACAAUAUUUCUUCUGUUUUUUUAUUUUUUAUUUUAUUUUAACAAUUCUUUUGUUCUUGAAGGGUUCUUGGAAAGACCAGGUUAUACACAACUGCAGAUUGAUCAUGAGGACCAUGCUGCCGAGUUUCUGAAUUUAUACACAAUUGCAGAUUCUGCCCACAAAAGGCUCCAUCCAAAGAGUUGAUAACACAAGC
Non-coding RNA from Cicer arietinum (chickpea), 198 nucleotides. The record is from RefSeq and is a predicted model, not a curated record. NCBI's taxonomy places the organism in Eukaryota, Viridiplantae, Streptophyta, Magnoliopsida, Fabales, Fabaceae.